This 372-nucleotide ribosomal RNA is filed under the name uncultured organism. RNAcentral's name for it is "bacterial SSU rRNA". It matches the Rfam family "Bacterial small subunit ribosomal RNA", at positions 526 to 896 of the family's 1533-position model. The record is from RNAcentral.
CGUAGGGACCAAGCGUUGUUCGGAUUUACUGGGCGUAAAGGGCGCGUAGGCGGCGUGGUAAGUCAGCUGUGAAAUCUCCGAGCUUAACUCGGAACGGUCAGCUGAUACUGCUGUGCUAGAGUGCAGAAGGGGCAAUCGGAAUUCUUGGUGUAGCGGUGAAAUGCGUAGAUAUCAAGAGGAACACCUGAGGUGAAGACGGGUUGCUGGGCUGACACUGACGCUGAGGCGCGAAAGCUAGGGUAGCAGACGGGAUUAGAUACCCCGGUAGUCCUAGCCCUAAACGAUGAAUACUUGGUGUCUGGAGUUUUAAUUCUCCGGGUGCCGUCGCUAACGUUUUUAGUAUUCCGCCUGGGGAGUACGCACGCAAGUGUG